RNAcentral lists this microRNA precursor (52 nucleotides) under Canis lupus familiaris (dog). RNAcentral's name for it is "mir-1302 microRNA precursor family". It matches the Rfam family "mir-1302 microRNA precursor family". RNAcentral also lists the same sequence under 1 other name. The record is from Rfam by way of RNAcentral. Lineage: Eukaryota; Metazoa; Chordata; Mammalia; Carnivora; Canidae.
GUUUCAGCAUAAGUAUGUCCCAUACAACAUUUGGGAUAUACUUAUACUUAAA